GCUGGCGGCGUGCCUAAUACAUGCRAGUCGAACGCUUCUUUUUCCACCGGAGCUUGCUCCACCGGAAAAAGAGGAGUGGCGAACGGGUGAGUAACACGUGGGUAACCUGCCCAUCAGAAGGGGAUAACACUUGGAAACAGGUGCUAAUACCGUAUAACAAUCGAAACCGCAUGGUUUUGAUUUGAAAGGCGCUUUCGGGUGUCGCUGAUGGAUGGACCCGCGGUGCAUUAGCUAGUUGGUGAGGUAACGGCUCACCAAGGCGACGAUGCAUAGCCGACCUGAGAGGGUGAUCGGCCACAUUGGGACUGAGACACGGCCCAAACUCCUACGGGAGGCAGCAGUAGGGAAUCUUCGGCAAUGGACGAAAGUCUGACCGAGCAACGCCSCGUGAGUGAAGAAGGUUUUCGGAUCGUAAAACUCUGUUGUUAGAGAAGAACAAGGAUGAGAGUAACUGUUCAUCCCUUGACGGUAUCUAACCAGAAAGCCACGGCUAACUACGUGCCAGCAGCCGCGGUAAUACGUAGGUGGCAAGCGUUGUCCGGAUUUAUUGGGCGUAAAGCGAGCGCAGGCGGUUUCUUAAGUCUGAUGUGAAAGCCCCCGGCUCAACCGGGGAGGGUCAUUGGAAACUGGGAGACUUGAGUGCAGAAGAGGAGAGUGGAAUUCCAUGUGUAGCGGUGAAAUGCGUAGAUAUAUGGAGGAACACCAGUGGCGAAGGCGGCUCUCUGGUCUGUAACUGACGCUGAGGCUCGAAAGCGUGGGGAGCAAACAGGAUUAGAUACCCUGGUAGUCCCACGCCGUAAACGAUGAGUGCUAAGUGUUGGAGGGUUUCCGCCCUUCAGUGCUGCAGCUAACGCAUUAAGCACUCCGCCUGGGGAGUACGACCGCAAGGUUGAAACUCAAAGGAAUUGACGGGGGCCCGCACAAGCGGUGGAGCAUGUGGUUUAAUUCGAAGCAACGCGAAGAACCUUACCAGGUCUUGACAUCCUUUGACCACUCUAGAGAUAGAGCUUCCCCUUCGGGGGCAAAGUGACAGGUGGUGCAUGGUUGUCGUCAGCUCGUGUCGUGAGAUGUUGGGUUAAGUCCCGCAACGAGCGCAACCCUUAUUGUUAGUUGCCAUCAUUUAGUUGGGCACUCUAGCAAGACUGCCGGUGACAAACCGGAGGAAGGUGGGGAUGACGUCAAAUCAUCAUGCCCCUUAUGACCUGGGCUACACACGUGCUACAAUGGGAAGUACAACGAGUCGCAAAGUCGCGAGGCUAAGCUAAUCUCUUAAAGCUUCUCUCAGUUCGGAUUGUAGGCUGCAACUCGCCUACAUGAAGCCGGAAUCGCUAGUAAUCGCGGAUCAGCACGCCGCGGUGAAUACGUUCCCGGGCCUUGUACACACCGCCCGUCACACCACGAGAGUUUGUAACACCCGAAGUCGGUGAGGUAACCUUUUGGAGCCAGCCGCCUAAGGUGGGAUAGAUGAUUGGGGUGAAGUCGUAACAAGGUAGCCGUAUCG
This 1501-nucleotide ribosomal RNA is filed under the name Enterococcus hirae. RNAcentral describes it as "bacterial SSU rRNA". Lineage: Bacteria; Bacillati; Bacillota; Bacilli; Lactobacillales; Enterococcaceae. The record is from RNAcentral.